Molecule: ribosomal RNA, 497 nt
Filed under: uncultured bacterium
Lineage: Bacteria
Description: partial 16S ribosomal RNA
Rfam family: Bacterial small subunit ribosomal RNA
Source: RNAcentral
GACGAACGCUGGCGGCGUGCUUAACACAUGCAAGUCGAACGGUGAAGCGCCUUCCUUUUUGGUGGGUGUGGAUGAGUGGCGAACGGGUGAGUAACACGUUAGUAACCUGCCCCCUUCUUCUGGAUAACCGCAUGAAAGUGUGGCUAAUACGGGAUAUUCUGGGUCUGUCGCAUGAUGGGUCUGGGAAAGAUUUUGUUUCGGUGGGGGAUGGUCUCGUGGCGGAUCAGCUUGUUGGUGGGGUGAUGGCGUACCAAGGCGGCGAUGGGUAGCCGGCCGGAGGGGAGGGUGGGCGACCAUAGAGGGGAGGCGAGGCCGAGAAGCCUACGGGGGGAAGCAGCAGGGAAGAUUAUUGCACAGGGGGAGCACGCAUGCAGCCGCGCCGCGUGGGGGAGGAUGGCGGCCUGCGUGUUGUGAACCUCUUUCGGGAGUGAAGAAGGCCAGCCUAGUUUGUGGGUGGGUUGACGGUAGCUGGAUAAGAAGCGCCGGCUAACUACGUG